AGCAGCCGCGGUAAUUCCAGCUCCAAUAGCGUAUAUUAAAGUUGUUGCAGUUAAAAAGCUCGUAGUUGAAUUUCGGGGUCAGUAGAUUGGUCAUGCCUCCGGUAUGUACUGGUCUUACUGGCUCCUCCUUCCUGAUGAACCGUAAUGCCAUUAAUUUGGUGUUGCGGGGAGACUGGACUGUUACUUUGAAAAAUUGAGUGUUUAAAGCAGGCUAACGCUUGAAUACAUUAGCAUGGAAUAAUGAAAUAGGACGUUCGAUCUUAUUUUGUUGGUUUCUAAGAUUGACGUAAUGAUUAAUAGGGAUAGUUGGGGGCAUUAGUAUUCAAUUGUCAGAGGUGAAAUUCUUGGAUUUAUUGAAGACUAACUACUGCGAAAGCAUUUGCCAAGGAUGUUUUCAUUAAUCAAGAACGAAAGUUAGGGGAUCGAAGACGAUCAGAUACCGUCGUAGUCUUAACCAUAAACUAUGCCGACUAGGGAUCGGAUGAUGUUAAUUUUUAAUGACUCAUUCGGCG
This 512-nucleotide ribosomal RNA is filed under the name uncultured Glomus. RNAcentral's name for it is "SSU rRNA". It matches the Rfam family "Eukaryotic small subunit ribosomal RNA", at positions 569 to 1085 of the family's 1831-position model. The record is from RNAcentral. Lineage: Eukaryota; Fungi; Glomeromycota; Glomeromycetes; Glomerales; Glomeraceae.